Long non-coding RNA from Telopea speciosissima, 194 nucleotides. RefSeq lists it as uncharacterized. The record is from RefSeq and is a predicted model, not a curated record. The transcript is spliced from 3 exons. Lineage: Eukaryota; Viridiplantae; Streptophyta; Magnoliopsida; Proteales; Proteaceae.
AUGUGAAAUUAAAAUUUGCACCCCCUCACCGAUCUCCCAAACCCCCUGAUACUAAGCAGUCUCUUGGUGGGGACACCUCAACAAUCUCCCAGGCAGGCCGGUACUAUGCCGUCUUUUGGGUGUCACAUUCUUCCCCCCUUACAGGCACAGCAUCCCCGAAGUGGCCCCACCACUAGUGUCGGGAGUUUGCUCUG